Molecule: long non-coding RNA, 779 nt
Organism: Armigeres subalbatus
Lineage: Eukaryota; Metazoa; Arthropoda; Insecta; Diptera; Culicidae
Exons: 2
Source: RefSeq, a predicted model, not a curated record
CACGUCGGCACCAAAUCCGUACGAGCAAGUUUCUCCGAGUUAACAAUUGUAUUUGACCAGGAAAUCGUGAUCCGUAAUACCAGGACUUCAUUGAUUCCCGUCUUCGUUUUCGUGAAAUCUCAGGUCUGAACCAGGAGGUGAUAAAUUGGCGGAAGAGUCGUCCAGAGUGAUUGAAGUUUCAAAAAAUGAGAAACUGCCAGUGCAAUUGCAAGAAGGUCAAGUUGCUUGCGUUCCAACGGGUGAGAGACGCGGAACUAUCUGGUGCAAAAGUCGCUGAUGAGCUUAAAAAAGAAAUACGAAUGUAUCCUCAUAAUGUGAGGCUAUUUCGGAAAUAUGAACAAAUCGAUGGAGAUUUUCGAAGAUGCGGGAACACUCAUUGUAGCUAUGUGCUCUGCUGCUGAAACUGCACGAUCACUAUCAAAAUCUUAUUGCAGCGAUAGGUCAACGACACACUGGAUAACAACGAUUUCUUACAUUGGAAGCACACCGGGAGAAUGGAAUGCAUUUCUGGAAUGAUUUCUGCUCUACUCGGAUUAGUGGAGAUCCAACAGUUUCAGGAAUUUUUCAUUCUCGUGAAUGGUUCCAGAGAUGUACCUCCCAGGAAUGAAAUAUGUAUAUGUACGCUUUGAGAAGGACCUUGCUACAUCAAACGAGAUUUUUGCCAUGGUUCGAAACGCGCCCAAUUUGCUACUCAUGCGCGGUUUAGAUGAUACUUAUGUUAUAAACUUUUUAUGAUAUUUUAAUUCGAAACAUAGAAUAAACGUUUUUUUGAAAUAUUA